GCAUCUGCAAAUUCAGGUGCCGGGAUUAGCGUCCUGCCGUGAUUCACCGCGACUACAUGACACGCAUGACACGCCGCGAGCGUGUUUUUU
Molecule: small RNA, 90 nt
Filed under: Sodalis sp. TME1
Lineage: Bacteria; Pseudomonadati; Pseudomonadota; Gammaproteobacteria; Enterobacterales; Bruguierivoracaceae
Description: isrK Hfq binding RNA
Rfam family: isrK Hfq binding RNA
Source: Rfam by way of RNAcentral